AACAGAAGGUUCCCGUCGGGCGCCCGAUCGUGGGUAUCGGGAAGAUGGUGGAAGUCCAUCGCUGCCCCGCAACUGUAACCGGCGACGAAAUCCGCAUCCAGGCCACUGGGGAAGACACCCCGGGAAGGCGCGGAGAGUAGGUUCGUAACCGGAAGCCAGGAGACCGGCCCGACAGGGAGUUUUCCC
Molecule: non-coding RNA, 186 nt
Filed under: Deltaproteobacteria bacterium
Lineage: Bacteria; Pseudomonadati; Myxococcota; Myxococcia
Source: RNAcentral